UGCAUCUGUCCAAACUCUCCUACACUGUGCUUGACUCUGAGAACCAUAGACCAUUUUAAAUGAUCUCAAUGUCAAACCAUUCAACAAAACUCCCAGUCAGCUCUUUCAUCAUUUCCAUUGUGCAAAAUGGAAUCCAUGCUGAAACUCACUCCUCUUCAGCACCUUUUGCUCCAGAAAAGCCCCCCCCUUCUCUGGGAGGGUAGACAUUUGGACCUACCUUCUUCUUUUCUCCUUAUCCCUCCCUCCCCAACUUUUCAGCUUUUUUGUGUGCUUUUUCCUAUUAGACAAUUAUUUCCUUGAGCACAUAGACUGCCUUAUGAACCUUUGUAUCUUUCUUUGUAUCCUCAACACUUAGCAAGAUGCCUAGGCUUAGUAAAUGCUUAUUGAUUUUCUGAUUCUGAUUCCACCUUAAAUUUGCAUGGCACUGAUAAAUCUAGCUAAAACUUUUUGUUUUCCUCUGCCUUAAGAAUUUGAUAGGAGCCUUGCAUGAAUCCACCUCUGAGAUCCACUGGUUGUCUAAUAAGAGAGUUCUGAUAACUUCCAGAUCUUGCCAUGAUUUUUUGGUCCCAUUUUAUUUCUCCUGCUCAAAAGCCAGAAAUCUCCAUGCAAUUGUAUCUUUUUCUUCUUUCUCCCCCUCCUUCUCUCUAUUCCUUCCUCUCUCCCUCCAUUCUUGCUUCCUUCCUUCCUCCCUAGGUGAAAAUAACCAAUGAUCUGGUGGGUAGAAUUGUGAAGUGAUUCAACCCUUUCGGAGACCAAUUUGAAACUGUGCCCAAAGGCUUAUAAAAAUGUGCCUUUGAAAAACUUUGGAUACACCAGUGCUGCUUCUCCCCCAAAAUGAUAAAACUUGAAUAAAGUUAUAUAUGAACAAAAUAUUCCUAUCAGCUCUUUUUGUGGUGGCAAAGAAAAUGUAAAAUGAGUACAUGCCUAACAAUUGGGAAAUAGCUGAAUAAAUUAUGAUAUAUUAAAGUAAUGUGAGGGAUGAAGAAGUCCCUUAGCCAAAAUGACUACUCAGAGAUCAGUCAGUAGAAAGCAGAAAAGUUAUUGAUUAAUAAGUUCUCAUGAGAAUGAGCAAUUCCACUGCGAGGAGGGAAAGAGAAAGCUCCCAGUAGAAGGGCUAAAGAAUUAGGAAAGAUAUAUGGAUUUUAUAGGUUUGGUUGCAAAGGAAUACAUCAUAGGUUGGGGAGCAUUGAGAAAUAGAUGCCUUCUCCCCUAAUUGAAUGUGAACCAUUGGUGCCAAAGGCAGAUGAGAACAGAAUGCUUUGUUUCCCUGAUUCUGAGAGGAAUCAUCAGUCAGGCCUUCAAACUUCAGAUUACUGAGCUGAUGGCUUUGAAUAAUCUAAAUAUUGAUAACAUUGAACAAGGAUAAAUGUCAUCAUUUCUGCUUAAGUAAAGAUAUCUAAAGUUUUAAGUAAAUAUUGACUUGCACACACCUGACUUAGGCAGGUCACAGAGACAUAGACAUAAUAAAAAAUACAGAAAAAGUAUUUAAACAUUCCUGUAACUUCUUCACUUUAUCUCUCCAUUCCACACAGUAAUGAUGAGCAGGCUUAUGUGAUGCUAGAAAAGCCUGGAAAGAUUUACAUGAAUUGAUGCUGAGUGAAGCAAGUAGAAUACAUUUUACAAAGCAACAACAAGAUUGCAUGAGAAUCAACUAUGGUAGACUUGGCUCUUCUCAGAAAAUCUGUGAUCCAAAGCCAUUCCAAUCAAUUUUGGAUGGAAAAUGGCCCACAUCCAGAGGGAGAACCAUGGGGAUGAUUGCAGAUAGCAGCAUACCAUUUUCACCUUCUCCUUUUUUUUCCUCUUGAUUUUCCCUUUUUUCUGAAUUUUCUCUCCUCAAUUCUCAUGUGGAGACUCAUAUGGAAAUAUGGAAAAAAUGCAUAUAUAUGUAAAACCUACAAACUAUAUUGCUAGAGUACCUAGCAAGAAGAAGGCUAGGGAACAGAAUACCAAGAGUCUGCAUUAAUCUGGAGACCCUUCAUCAUGUAGCUUGCACACAAUACCCCAUUUGCAUAAGCAACAAGUCUGUGCAAAGACAAGUCUUGUGUAAACUUGACCCUUGUGGUCUUUGGCUGUUUAGAUCUCCUCAGCUCAGUCUUGGGAAUGGAUGUUGAGGCCCCGGGUGUGAGUUCUGCCUCACUGGCUGCAGGCCCGGGGUAGACACUCGGUAGCCAGGCCUGGCCAGGCAUUGAGCAUGCACCAAAUGGAGAUCGCUUCCACCAUCUCAGGAGUUGGGCUCCUUCAUGAACAAGCUAAAGACCUACUUGUUGCUGGGGCACGUUGGCGGGGGAGAUGAGAGGGGCAUAGGAACAGGGCAGCAGAGGGAGAGGGGAGAAGCAGGGAAGCCCGGGAGCAGGGAUGUAGGGAAGCACGAGAGAGAGGAAGCAGGAGGACAGACAAGAUGAUGGAGCCAAGCAAUAAAGCUUUUUUAACUUCAUAAAGGAUGUCAGAAUGACUCCGUCAUAACCAGGGACGGAGACGUCCCUCUCCGGAGGUCGUAGAGAAGAUGAUAAUUGGCUAAGUGCUCGGGCACCAGUUGGGGUCAGCAGGUCUGCACUAGCUGGGGACCCCAGCAACAUAUGUGCUAAUGCUUUUGUCAUGGAGGCUCUCACCAUUUGCCUCUAUUCUUCUAGAGAACUCUGCACUUGCUGCACAGAUAAUAAAAGUGUGGAGUUAUUUAAAAUGUCUUGAACAGCCUAGAACUGAUUCCAUUUAGUGGCAAUACUCCACUCAUAGACUAGGGGGGUUGACGUGCCAGAGGCACAGUAUGUGCAGUAUUUUCCACUUCCUAGGGAAAUUUCUCAUGUAGCCUAGAUUUGAAAAAAUACUUUUUGCCUACAGUCUUCCAAGUUGAAGCCCUUUCAAUAGUACUGUUUUCUCAUAUUUGUCUUAUAGAAUAAUGAUAACACAAUGGUCACUUCAAAUUACAGAACAUUCCACAUCUUUAACUUUGAUUAUAACAAUGUAUUGCCCUCAAACCUGUUUUGUUUUGUUUAUCCUUUGCUCUAUUUAAAAAUAAAUCUCAUUCUCCUUUCAAAGAUGUUUUACUUCUGGCCAUUGCCUUCCUUAACCCAUGCUCUUCUUUCAUCAUCUUUGGUCCUUUUUCUCAUUUUUGCUUUUCCCUUCCAAUUCUUUCUUGGGAAAGAUAGAUUUCUAUCCCCAAUGAGUCUGUCCAUAUAGUCUUCCCUCUUUGAAUCAAUAUAAAUGAAAAUGAGCUUCAAAUGUUGCCUGACAUCCCCUUUCCCCUUCUCCUCUACUAUAAAAGCUCUCCAUUGACUAAGAUGACAGGAACAGAUAAUGAUAAAUGUUAGAGGGUUUUGGAAAAACUGGGACUCUAAUACAUGCUUGGGGGAGUAGUGAACGGGCCCAGUCAUUCUGGAGACCAAUUUGGAACUAAACCCAAAGGGCUAUUAAAGUGUGCAAACCUUUUGAUCCAGCAUGAGUGUUUAUUCCAAAGAUAUCCUAAAAAGGGAAAAGGAAACACAUGUGCACAAAUGUUGAUAGUAGCCCCUGUUGUAGUGUCAAGGAAGUAGAAAUUGAGUGGAAGCCCAUCAGUUGGAGAAUGACUGCAUAAGUUUUGGUAUAGGAAAGUAAUGGAAUAUUAUAUUAUGGUCCUAUACAAAAGGAUCAGCAGGAUGAUUUCAGAUUGGCCUAGAGACUUGCAUGAACUGAUGCUAAGUGAAGUGAUUAGAAUAGAGAACUAUUCAUAGCCACAACAAGAAGAUGUGAUUAUCAGAGGUGAUGGCCUUAAUUCUUUUCAACAUUGAAGUGAUUCAGGCUAACUCCAAUAAACUUGUGAUAGAGAAAGCCAUCUACAUCCAGAAAGAGGACUGUGGGGACUGAAUAUGGAUCACAGCAGAGAACCAUUAUUUGCUUUUUUUUUUUAACUUAAACAAUUUUUUCCCUUUUCUGAUGUGAUUUUUCUCAUGCAGCAUGAUAAAUAUGGAAUUAUGUUUAGAAGAGUUGCACAUGUUAAAACUAUAGUGCAUUACUUGCUGUUUGGGGGAAAGGGGAGGGGGAAGAGAGGGAGAAAAAUUUGGAACACAAGGUUUUGCAAGCGUGAAUGUUAUAUCUUGGAAAUCAAAAACCUAUUAAAAAUUUUAAAGGUCUUUUUUGAGCUCUUUUUUAAAAUGAGGACAUUUUCCUCAUUUUUCCUUUCCUGUUUUCUUUCUCCCAGUGCAUCCCUCUUUCUCUGCCCUCUUUCUAGGGCAGUACAUCUGCGAGUACAUCCAAGGACAUCUCUCCUUUUUACCCUUUCAUUUUUUUUUGAGGUCAGCCUAAUAACCAACACACCUUUGUUCCCUAACUAUGUAGAUUCGUUCUAAAUACCCUAAGAAUAAAGUUCCUAGGAGUUCCAUAUAAAAUGUAAAUACUUUAAUUUUAUUGGAUCCCUUAAGAUUAUUCUUUCAUGUUUACCUUUGUUGCUCUUGAGUUUUGUGUUUAAAUGUCAAAUUUUCUAUUCAGAUCUGUUUUUAUGAUCAGGAAUAUCUGAUGAGAACUUGCUAUUUUAUUCAGCAUUGAUUUUUUUUCUCCUGAAGAAUUAUGCUUAGUUAUGGUGAGUAAGUUCUUCUUGCUAGUAAUCCUAGCUCCUUUGUCUUCUGAAAUAUUCUAAAGUCUCUGCUUCUUUAACAUGGAAGCUGCUAAAUCUUGUGCGAUUCUGACUGUAGCAACAUGAUAUUUUAAGGGUUUCUUUCUAGAUGCUUGCAAUAAAUUCUCUUUCUUGCAAUAAGAGCUCCUGGGAGCUCUAGAAUAUGGCUCAAUAGUCCUGGGAGUUUUCAUUUGGCGAUCUUUUCUCAGGAGGUGUUUAGUGGAUUCUUUUCCUUCCUAUUUUACUCUCUGGAACUAAGCUAUCAGAGCAGUUUUUCUUUAUCAUUUCUCAACAAAUGAUGUCGAGGCUAUUUUUUCAAUUAUGGUUUUUAGGUAAUCUUAAAUUAUUUCUCCUUGACCUAUUUUCCAAAUCACAUGGUUUGUGUAAUGAGAUUUUUCACAUGGUUAUGACUUUCUUUUCUUGUUUCUUAAUAUCACAUGGAGUCAUUCGCUUCCAUUUGCCUAAUUCUAAUUUUUAAGGAAUUAAUUUCUUCAUGGAACUUGGGUACCUCUUUUCCCAUUGGGCCAAUUCUGCUUUUGAAAAAGUUCUUUUUAUCAGUGAAUUUUUGUGCCUCUUUUACCAUUAGGUCAAUUUUGCUUUUUUAAGGUGUUAUUUUCUUUUAAGAAAUGGUGAGUUCUUUUUUCAUAAUUUAUUGCAUUUCGAUUUCAUUUCACAAAUUUCCAUCUAACACUAGUAUCACUUUCAGUGACUCUUCUGGGAAUACUGGUUGGGCUUGUGCUCAACUAGCAUUUUCCUUUCAGGCCUUGGCUUGCAGUUAUUUUCACAUUGUUGUUAUCUUCUGAGAUCAUGCCUCAGGUCUUCCCUGCUACCAUAGUAGCUUUUCAUGGUCUUUUUUGUUUGUUUGUUUACUCAUUUUUUCCAGCCUAUUUGUUGACUUUGAACUUUAUGUUAAAGUUGAUCACUAGUCACCUGGAGAUGGGAAGACCUUGUCCUCAAUAUAAGAUUUUUGUCAAAUGCUCUUUUCAUAGUUCUGGGAGUUUGCAAGUUUUCAGGACUUCCACAGGGGUGUGAUCUGGGGAUAGGAUGCUCUCUUGCUCUGCCUUUGCUCUCUUGGUCUGUGCUCUGUCGCUACCCAGGAAGGAAUCAAGGUCCCCUUCUCCCCCGUAACAUCAGGCAACUGGUCCUUUGUGACUGACCGCAAGCGCUCUUCUCCACUCUAGAACUGGGUCCCAGAAGUGCAUCUGGGAAGUAGUGUCGCCAAUUACUGCCAGCUGUAGCCAGGGCCAGCCAAGAGUGCCCUGUAAUCACCUUCUGAUUAGUCUGUCUGUCUCUCCCCUUACUGUCUCUGACCUGAGAGCUCCUAAAACUACUGCAGUGGCUGUUGUAGCCACUCCUAAGACUCCACACUGGUUGCUGCCCAGAGCAUGGGUUCUUGGCUGGCCCCCACCUCUGUGUCACAUAUUCUCCUGCUGACUUUCUAAGUUGUCUUCUACUGGAAAAAUGUCUCCUCCCAACCUUUUAUGGACUCUGCUGUUCCAAAAUUUGAUGGAAUGAUUUCCAUGUUGUUUAGAAGGGAAAUUUGAGAGCGUUCUGCUGAAUUGCUUCCUGGAAUCUGCCAUCUUCGCCCUGCCUCUAAGAAUUGUCUUGAUUCCUAUUUGGGGGAUUUGGGUUAACAUUCCCUAGCCUCGUCUGUCUCCUUUUUCUGGCCAUUUCUUUUGUCUGUCCUGUAUUGGUCUUGAAGGGUUCAGUCUUAUAUCAGCAGUGUUACAUUCUCUUCAUUAGGCAUCUAACCUGUGUAUAAUCUCCUUCUCCAUGUUUUUUUAAUUGAAGGCCAGUUUUCCUUUCCUGAUACUCAUCUGGUAAUAUUAAUUCAUGAAUAACGCUUUUACUGCCUUGCUUUGCCUCUCUUUUCCUAUAGAGCUUCAGAGUCUGUUAUUGAGCUACUUAGGGGUGGGAAGUUCAUGUUAUUCGUUUUGUAAUUCGUUGUGUGAAUUUAUUAUCAGUUCUUCAAAGUAUGAUUGAUUUUGCAUACAUUCUCCACUGUCCAAUUGAGUUAUUAUUUUGCGAUAUAUUAAAUCAUUGUACUUUCUAUCUUUCAGAUCUUAUUGUGGGACUCUAACCAUCUCUUCUAUGUAAUUCACAUAAAAUCACAACAUUAGACUUCUCCUUUCAUAUGGAAAUGUAGGAUUCAGUGAAUGCAGCAUAUACUUGGCCCGCUAUUUUAUUGGCACCAAAAUAUUGCUUGUGAAUUAUGUUGCUACUGACACAUAGGUAUAUUGUAUGAGGCUAGGUUUUUCAACACUGCUCCCCAGGAAGACCUGAUCCUUCAAGAGAAAAGUUGUCCCUUCCCUCUGAUGUAUCUAACCUCAGUUUUGCCCCACAUGAUUUUUCUUGGUUUGGUUCAGGGACACUAGCUUCAGGCUAGGAGAAUCGUUUCUUUCUGUUAGAGCAAACCUAGCUUCUGUGAGCUAUAUGUUUCUCCUAUACAUGACCCGGAGUUGGCUCUUCUCUUAAGUGUUUUCCUUUUUUUAAUCUAAAUUAUUUCCUUCAACCUGCUUGUUUCAUCCAUGGUGAAGCACCCUCUCUGGGUUCAUGCUCUCAAACCCCAGAGAAUGUGGAUGAGAUUAUCAGAAGAUGGUUGACUACUUCUCCCUUGAACCUUCUAGUAUUAAUGUUAAGGUCUUGGGAGGAGUUUGAUAAUACUAACUUCAUGAGCUUCCCCUUAAUUACAAGCCAAUCAGAUUCACUUCGCCUUUAGAAAAUAUGUAUUUCUGGGGUAGCUGGAUGAUUCAGUGGAUAGAGAGUCAGGAAGACCUAGCUCAGUGUAGCUUCAGACUUAUUAGCUGUGUGACUCUGGGCAAAACACAACUCUGACUGCCUCCAAAAAUAUAGGUAUUUACUAAAGUGAUAUCAUAAGCAGUAAAUUUAGCACUCCUGAUGAUUGGAAAUCUUUUUCUCUCUUUGGGGAGUCCUCACAAUGUCUCCCAUAAGGUAGAAUGUUCUGCAGGACUUUCCUCGGUGUAUCCACUUUCACUUCAAAGUGCUUCUCAGUUCUCGAUAUGGAUGUGGCUAAUAGUCACUUUUAUAGUUCCUGAUCUGGUGGAUGCCACUGCUGCAGAUCUUUAAAGUUCACAAGGCUAUUAUCUAGUCAAGGGGAGGGGAAGAGCAUGACUCUCUCUCUUCUCUCCUUCUGCCCUCUGCUACCCGUGCAAGAAACCAUUGCUCUUCUCUUCUCUUGAACAAGUCCUGCUUUUUGGAAGGAGGUAUGCAGAGUAGUUCUCAAGUUGUACCUCUUACUUUGAGCCUUUCUACAUUUGGAAAUUAUCCAAUAGAUGUACUUCAUGCACUGUUGGCUAAAUGAUUUGCUAUAAAUCACCUUGCAAUUAUCGAGUUCUUUAACCUUUUAGUGUGUGUUUUUUUGGGGGGUAAUGACCACUUCUAAAAUCAGGAUGAUUCUUAGUUUCCAGGUUUAAAAAAUGGUCACAAGCCUUUUCAUACAUCUUAUACUUAUACCUAAUCAGUGGCUUGAUUAAAUGUAGGAAAUAUUCAAAAAAAACCCAAAUAGAAAUAAGCUACUUAUGUAGUAUUGUAAUAAUUCAAUAAAAUAAAGUUCUAAGCAAGUGACACGUGACACUUAACAAUAAAACUAACAUAUAUAAAUUGGUAGAGUGAAAGCAUACUGUAAUAUCUACUCCCCACCUCUGUUUGCUCUUUAGGAUACAUACCAUGAUAUACUAUUGGGAUUUUUCAUUUAUCAAAUGUAUUUACGUUGAUUAAUAGUAUAUUUAUAUACAUUUGUAUUAUUUAUGUUUUAUUAUGUAUUUUUAUUUCAGUUUAUUCAUAAAAAAAUGAUACUUUACACCAGUUCCAAUAGAUUUAGGAUGGAAAAUGCCAUCCACCUCAAGUAUCAGAAUUAUUGAGACUGACUGUGGACCAAAAGCUUAGUAUUUUCAUUUUUUCCAUUUAUUUGUUUCUUUCUGGUAGUUAUUUUCCCUGUUGCUUUGAUUUUUCUUUCAUAACAUGAGAAAUGUGGAAAUAUGUUUAAAAGCAUUGUUUAUAUUGAAUCAUACCUAUUGCUUGUUAUCUUAGGGAUGAGGAAAGGAGGGAAGAUGAAAAAUUUAGAACCCAAAUUCUUGCAGAAAUGAAUGCCAAGUAGUAUUUGUACAUGUUUUUAGAAAAAUAAAAUACCAUUCAAAAUAAAAAGACAAAAAAAGAAACUUACAAAUACUACUUUACUGUGAAAUACUUAGUGUAACCAAAUGAAAGUCAGAGAUUUCUGUUGAGUCCAUCUUGAGAGAUUCUAUUUUGAAAACUUUGCUUUUAACUUUCAAUAUGAGGCAGGUAGUCUACAUAAGAUAGUGAUGGCACAUACUCACUAAUUUGCUUUUUUCAUUUAAAAUGUGGAUCAAUCAAUAAAUGAGGUAGGACUAAACCAUCUCCUCAUUUGUAAAGUGAAGCAAACAAAAUGGUCUUUUAUGUGGAAAUUGUUCACCCUCUCCAUAAAAGAGGCAGCACAGAUUCAAUUCAAUGUAUAUUACUCCCUUGAAGUAUUAAUAAAUUCCUUUUGUCUUAUUUUCUAAGUUUGCCGUAUUUGAUUAGGACUUUAAGGCCUAAUCCAGAUUUCUAUUAUGAUUUCGGUAUGCUACGCAGGAUAUUGGGGGAGGAACUCAGGUCCUCCUGAUUUCAGGUGUGGUAUUCUCUCCACUUCACCACCCAAUGUCUCAUGAGAAGUGUUUUCCUGGCAACAGGGGUCAGCUGUUCAUGUAACAUCAAAAGUAAGCCACUAGGAGCAGAUCAUGCCCAUAAAGGUAAUGGUUCCUAAGAACUCAGAUUGUUUGUUCCCACAACAUACUUCAGGGAUCACAGGGAGUCAUCACCAAGAUUGAAAGGAAUGAACGCCACAACCAACACCAUAAUACCUUAGUCUGCCUUUUCUUUACCUUCCUCUUGUCCCCUCUUUUUCCUUCAUGUUGCCUUCUUAAGUGAAAUGAAUUUCUGUACCCAGUUGAAUGUGUAUGAAUCUUCCUUCGUUUGAUCAUUUCAGAAGAGAAUGAGGUUGAAUGGUCAGUUGUUCCCCUUUCUUCUUGCUUGCAUAGAUUUUCACCUUUGACAAUAUAAACAAUAACCACCAGUAGAGUUAUGAUCCACAUUGGAAAUCUUUUUGAAGAGUGAUGGAAAAUCAGUAGAUGUCCAUCAGGUGGAGAAUGGCUGAACAAGAUGUGGCUGGAUAUGAAGGUGAGGAAAUAUUAGCAUUAUAUAAGAAAGGAUGAAGAAGCUCAUUUGAGAAAGGCCUGGACAGAUUUACAAGAACUGAUGCCGACUCGAACAAGCAGAAGGAAGAAUACUUUGGACAAAAUAAUCGCAAGAAUUUGUCUUGAUGAGCUAGGAAAAAAUUGUUUCUCCUCAGUGCUUUAGUGAUCCAAGCAAUUCCAAUAGACUUUGGGAAGCAAAUGUCAUCUGCAUUCAGAAAAAGAACUACAGAGAAAGAAUGUAAAACAGUAUAUGCUGUUUCUUUUUUCUUUUUCUCUCUCCCAUGGUUAUUCCCUUUUGCUCUGGUUUUUCUUUCCCAACAGGAUUCAUAGAGCAAUCCUUAUUUAAAAUAAAUUUACUAAACACUACAAAAAAUAAAAUUAAAACAAAAUUUUAUUCAAUUUUUCACAGUCAAUACCUAUACUGUUUAGGAUAUGCAAUGAGCCAGAGACCUGGGGACCAAGGCUGGCUGGUACUUCAUGCCCAAUUGGCAAUUCUUGAUUCUGAAUUUACACAUCUUCGUGAACAGGAUGGUCGGGUUUCACAAUUUUCCUUCAUAAGGGUAGCUGAGUUUCUUCCUGGGGCCUUUGGCUGGAGUUCCAAAUGCUUGUGGCAGGCAGUUGCUGCAGCCUGAGGGCAGAGUGGGCUGAGAGGGGUGAGGUGGUCAUUGGUCAGCCCAUAGACUGACUUCUUCCAGAGGUAGGGACUUGGCCAGCCCUGCCCAGCUGCUGGCACCACGGUGAAGGCUGGAGGUUUAUGUCAGGCAUCUGUUCCCUCCGGUUUUCAAGAGAAGUGAGGUGAGAUAAGACUGGGGACAAGCAGCACCAUGGCCCCUUUGCAGAGGUUUCUGCCAGGCGGUGGGACCACAGCUGGGGAGGGCUGAGUUUCAGACUGGACAGUGAGUGGGGUCGGUGUGUUUGGGGAGAGGGGGGCUUUUUCCAAAGCUGGCAGAAUGCCUUCUGUUCGACUGGGGAAGAGGAUCUUUUGGCGUGUUGGCAAGGGCUUCUGCCAGGUGUUGGGACCAAAUCUCUGGAGGGCACACAUUCAUCCUAGGAGGGGUUGAGGUGAGUCUGCCUGUUUGGUUUUCUUUCUUUUUUUUUACCCAAUGUAUGAUAAAGAAGCAAGGUCAAUUGAGGAAGAGGAGUACCUUGGCCCAUUGGUGGAAGCUUCUGUUGACAGUGGAGCCAAUUCUGUGGAGGACAGAUAUUUAGCCUGGUGGUUGAGUUAGUUUACUUUUCUUUUCCACACCAGGGCGCCAUGUGGUGAGGUCGACUCUGGCUGAGGAUUCCCUAGGACCUGUUGGCAGAGCCUUCUGCCAAGCAGCGGUUCCUAGGUCUGUGGACGAAAAAAGCAGCAUAUGAGUAAAGGGGAAGGAAGUAGGAAACAGGGAAGAAUGUGGGUGGCACAGAUAGGAAGAAUACUUUGUACAAACUAACAGCAAGGAUUUGUGAUGAUCAGAUAGGAAAGGAUAGUUUCUUCCUAUUGCUUUUGUGAUCCAAAGCAAUCCUAAUAGACUGUGGACAAAAAAAUGCCAUCUGUAUUCAGAAAAAGAACUCAGGAGAUAUAAUGUAAACCUCCAUGUACACUGUUCACUUGGUUUUUUCUUUUGUCUUCCAUGGUUGUUUCCCCUUGCUUUGAUUUUCUCUCCAAACAAGAUUUAUAAAAAGCAAAAUGUAUUAAAAACAAAUAAAUUUACUAACCCCCCACCAAAUUAAAAUUCUUUGUCAUUGGACUUCCGGUCAAGAUGGUGGAGAAGAGGACACACACAUCUCCUUAAGCUCCGUCUUUUCUCCCAGAAUAAUUUAUCUCAUGACAACCCUUGGAAUUAGUGCUUGAAUGAAAAAAGACACAAAUAAUUACCAAGAGAAGAUAUCCUCAAAAUGCAGCAGAAAAGGUCUGUUUUGCUCGGGGAUGAGGACAGCUAGUUCAGGCACAAACAGAAGGCAGGCAGUGGCAACACAGCAGACAGAGUAAGGCAGGCAGCUCACAGGUGAGCAGACGAGAGGUGCAUGGGGUGUGAUCUCAGACGUUUCUGCAGGGAGACAUUUAUGACAGUAUUGGCUACUUUGCCCUGGCAGCAAGCCAGGAGACAAAGAGAGAAGCUAAAAACACAGGAGGUAAAGACUAUAAGCCAGAAAAGCCAGCAUCUCUUGGGACCUGGCCACACCUAGCACUGUAUGUCUCAGUACACUCUCAGAGUCUCAGAGCACAGAUGCAAGGCAGCCAUUGCUGUCCUGCUAGUGCCUUGCUGCUGCCCCGUGCAGUCUGUAGAGGAAGCUUGGUAAUACCAUGCAGCCUCCCCCCC
Molecule: long non-coding RNA, 12101 nt
Filed under: Sarcophilus harrisii (Tasmanian devil)
Lineage: Eukaryota; Metazoa; Chordata; Mammalia; Dasyuromorphia; Dasyuridae
Description: lncRNA (ENSSHAG00000028463.1)
Source: RNAcentral